RNAcentral lists this ribosomal RNA (468 nucleotides) under uncultured bacterium. RNAcentral describes it as "partial 16S ribosomal RNA". It matches the Rfam family "Bacterial small subunit ribosomal RNA", at positions 28 to 507 of the family's 1533-position model. The record is from RNAcentral.
GACGAACGCUGGCGGCGUGCUUAACACAUGCCAGUCGAACGGAAAGACCCUGCUUUUGUGGGGUGCUCGAGUGGCGAACGGGUGAGUAACACGUGAGUAACCUGCCCUUGACUUUGGGAUAACUUCAGGAAACUGGGGCUAAUACCGGAUAGGAGCUCCUGCUGCAUGGUGGGGGUUGGAAAGUUUCGGCGGUUGGGGAUGGACUCGCGGCUUAUCAGCUUGUUGGUGGGGUAGUGGCUUACCAAGGCUUUGACGGGUAGCCGGCCUGAGAGGGUGACCGGCCACAUUGGGACUGAGAUACGGCCCAGACUCCUACGGGAGGCAGCAGUGGGGAAUAUUGUACAAUGGGCGGAAGCCUGAUGCAGCAACGCCGCGUGCGGGAUGACGGCCUUCGGGUUGUAAACCGCUUUCGCCUGUGACGAAGCGUGAGUGACGGUAAUGGGUAAAGAAGCACCGGCUAACUACGUG